Molecule: unclassified non-coding RNA, 372 nt
Filed under: Hevea brasiliensis (rubber tree)
Lineage: Eukaryota; Viridiplantae; Streptophyta; Magnoliopsida; Malpighiales; Euphorbiaceae
Source: RNAcentral
CGCCCAGUGCUUUUGCCAGCUGUUCCUGCCCAGGUUCUCCUGGACUCCCUGAGUAGGGUGCAGUUUGACGUGUUUGAUCCAAGAUUAGAACGAGGAGUUCUGGGCAUUCCACCUUUGUGGUACCAAUUGAAAUUAAAGUGGUCGUCAUGGAGGGGGGAAUACUGAUAACUUAGUAAUCCAUUCAACGGGAAAGUUGGUGGGGUGGACAAUGCUAGAGAAUUGUCAUACUUUUGGUUCCUUUACAAUAAGGGGAUUGUCUUUCACAAGAAACAUGGUCCUAUCCUCCGCUAGUGCACGUUUCGUUUUUUGGAAUUUCCUUGAUAAUGGCAUUGUCUGGUUUUGAAAAAACGAAACGUGCACUAGCGGAGGAUA